CAGCAAGGGAGCCAGGAACCCAGUGUCCUAUGCGGAAGGGUAAAAAGGGAGACGGGUGUGCAAGCUGGGCAUGGACGGUGAGGCCAGCCGCAGAGAAGCACCUGUAUGGCACAGGGACAGGUAGCUGGUUUGGAACGGGCUAAAUAGGACAGGUGACAGAAACCCGGAGAAAGGCGGCUGGAUUCUAAAGAGAAGGAUAAAGAAGGAAAUGGCAUAGUCCGUCUGGGCAGUCCUUUCUAGAUGGAAGAAACACACAGUUUCUGUAAGAGAGAGCAGGAGAAAGAUGACGGGAAGAUGAGUCAAUGGCACUCUUUUUGGAGUCGCCGCAAUUUGGAUGACUCAGUCUCACAUGUCUGGAUUCUUAAGGAUCCUUGGGCUCUACUGAUCUGGGGGACGCCACUGGACCUGAAGGCUGCACUAGGCCUCUGGUUCUCCUUUCUGCCUUAACGUUGUGUGGCUUUAUUAUCCGAAACGCUGAAUGAGAAGCAAUGCAGAAAGGCAGCAGUGAUGUACCCGAACACUGCCCAGACUGCUGACAGGAAGAGGCCGCUCUACUCUGCUCACAGAGACGGUGGGGAGAAAUGGGUCCAGCCGGGCUCUGGUCUUCCUUCCCCAUAAGCACCACACCCUUGUGUCUAAACCAUCCCGGCUCCUUGCUUCCACCCACCAGGGGAGGCAGUUGUACGUGUUUCGGCUGCCAUCUUGAAAAAGCAAGGCUUCCAGUCAAAUCUUGACGAAGUUCGAGAUGUAAAAGAUAAAAUGAAGCCCUGUGAUUGAAGCAAGGGCGAGGACUCCAGAAUCUGCUUCCCUUCUCCCUCACGCCUGGGAGGAGGCUGCAGGGAACACUCAGUGGAGUGUGGUGUGAAAACCACUCACCAACAUUUAUGUCAUGGCUAUGGCAGUUGCCUUGACGGUUGGUACCACAAUCCCAAUAGCCCGUUCCCUCAAAUAGUGACAGAUCACUUUUCUCCCACUGAGAAACCUGGAACCCCCUUGGGACCUCCCUUGGAAUGUCUGCUUUUGGUCUUAAGAGAAAGGAUCUCGGCUCGUUGGCGAAGAACUGACAUUUUCUGAGCUCGGCAAGGUAUUGAUGCCAUUAGUGGGUCUGUUUAGCAAGCCACCUGCUUCCCUGAGUUCUCUCUGAUGACUUAGUCAGGUGGGUGUCACAUCUCAAGCAUGUAGCGAAUAUAAUGGCUGUAAGUUCCACCAAUGAAGAGAUGCUUCGUAACCACUUGAUGUGGAUCUCUCCUGCCGCUGGAUGUGACCCAGAUGCAAGAGGCAUAUGGGGUGAGGAACCCCAUUUGUCUCCUGCCCAUGUAGCGGGGAAUGGUCGACUAUGAAGAAUUGUUCGUUUGGAUGUGUUGCUGUGUGUAGGGCCUCCCUUAGGGCCUCUGCGAUACCUUCAGCGAAGAUUCCUAUCACUUCACAGGUUUUACAGGUUUAGACUUCCUUUUCUUCUGUGUAUACGUAUAAGGCUGACCUAGGGGUUGGCAAAACCGUAUCCAGAUAAAUCAUUCGGAGGUGAAAUGUAUUUUAUCUCUUUAAGAAA
Molecule: long non-coding RNA, 1549 nt
Organism: Leopardus geoffroyi (Geoffroy's cat)
Lineage: Eukaryota; Metazoa; Chordata; Mammalia; Carnivora; Felidae
Exons: 3
Source: RefSeq, a predicted model, not a curated record